Molecule: ribosomal RNA, 477 nt
Filed under: uncultured organism
Description: partial 16S ribosomal RNA
Rfam family: Bacterial small subunit ribosomal RNA
Source: RNAcentral
UACACUCCUACGGGAGGCAGCAGUGGGGAAUUUUGGACAAUGGGCGAAAGCCUGAUCCAGCAAUGCCGCGUGUGUGAAGAAGGCCUUCGGGUUGUAAAGCACUUUUGUCCGGAAAGAAAUCCUUGGCUCUAAUACAGUCGAGGGAUGACGGUACCGGAAGAAUAAGCACCGGCUAACUACGUGCCAGCAGCCGCGGUAAUACGUAGGGUGCGAGCGUUAAUCGGAAUUACUGGGCGUAAAGCGUGCGCAGGCGGUUUGCUAAGACCGAUGUGAAAUCCCCGGGCUCAACCUGGGAACUGCAUUGGUGACUGGCAGGCUAGAGUAUGGCAGAGGGGGGUAGAAUUCCACGUGUAGCAGUGAAAUGCGUAGAGAUGUGGAGGAAUACCGAUGGCGAAGGCAGCCCCCUGGGCCAAUACUGACGCUCAUGCACGAAAGCGUGGGGAGCAAACAGGAUUAGAUACCCGUGUAGUCCCAUGA